CGAAUUGAAAAACACAAAUUCAUCUUCUUCGAAACCAAGCAUCAAUUGGUUGUGAAUUGGAUCCUUCUGCUGUGACUGCUUGUGACUGCAGGUGCUAAAUGAGAUAAGUGCUACUUUACCAAAUCUCCCUGCUAUUUCUUCACUAGUGCUUCUAAGGUUGCUUUGGAGUGUUAACCUUUCUUGGUGUUUUUAUUGCGGUAUUCCUUUUUCACCAAAUUUGCUUAUUCUAUCUGUGAAAAUGGCUUGAUCUCAAAUUGGGCUUUUGUGGCUUGCACGUUUGCAGUGAUAUUGAUAUUAAGGUUUGUAAUUUCUUGCGGAAAGUUACAAACCCAUGUUUAGUUUUUUACUUUGGAAUCAGUUUGAAUAGCAAAAUGUCUCUAUUUUUUCUCACCUAGAAAAUUGAAGAUUAUGUAUCUUACUUUUAUUUCAAAACUUUUUUUUUUCCUCUUUUAUGUUCUGUAUUUCGAAACCAUUGCUAUGUCUAUUAUAAAAGUUUUAUGUAUUGUGCAACAUUCAGCGUCGCCCGAUUAAUUGAGAGACUGUCCCGCUUGUAGGACCAAACAAUUUUAUAUAAGAAAGCUAAAAGUUUUUGAACAGCUCUAGUUACUGGUUGUUAUUACCAUAUUUUCGUUAAUUGGUUGGAGAAAUUUUUGAAUUCGAAUAUGCAAAUUCAAAGUAUUGGUAGCUACUGAAAAAACAUUUCACCAAUCUGUCUACUGGUUUAUCUGUGAGCUAUUAAAUUGUAAUGAACUUGAAACUUUUUCCUGUGUACCUGCAGGAGCAGUAUGGGUAUUACUGAGGCAUUGCGGUUGCAGGUAGAACUCCAAAAUCGGCUUCAUGAACAACUUGAGGAGAAGACUUCCUUGUACCUUCCUUGAA
Molecule: long non-coding RNA, 879 nt
Organism: Rosa chinensis
Lineage: Eukaryota; Viridiplantae; Streptophyta; Magnoliopsida; Rosales; Rosaceae
Exons: 3
Source: RefSeq, a predicted model, not a curated record